UAAGACGGAGGGUGCUAGCGUUGUUCGGAAUUAUUGGGCGUAAAGGGCGUGUAGGCGGUCUAUUAAGUCAUGCGUGAAAGCCCUCGGCUUAACCGAGGAAGUGCGUAUGAAACUGACAGGCUAGAGUACGGUAGAGGGGGGCGGAAUUCCAGGUGUAGCGGUGAAAUGCGUAGAUAUCUGGAGGAACACCGGAGGCGAAGGCGGCCCCCUGGUCCGACACUGACGCUGAGACGCGAAAGCGUGGGUAGCAAACAGGAUUAGAUACCCUGGUAGUCCACGCUGUAAACGAUGGGCACUAGGUGUCUGGGGUAUUGACCCCCUGGGUGCCGCAGCUAACGCAUUAAGUGCCCCGCCUGGGGAGUACGAUCGCAAGGUUA
RNAcentral lists this ribosomal RNA (377 nucleotides) under uncultured bacterium. Its description in RNAcentral is "bacterial SSU rRNA". It matches the Rfam family "Bacterial small subunit ribosomal RNA", at positions 521 to 896 of the family's 1533-position model. The record is from RNAcentral.